Molecule: long non-coding RNA, 2469 nt
Organism: Pecten maximus
Lineage: Eukaryota; Metazoa; Mollusca; Bivalvia; Pectinida; Pectinidae
Exons: 3
Source: RefSeq, a predicted model, not a curated record
UUUGUCAGUAGUUUGUAGAGCCAGGUAUAUUGAAUGCCGACAUUGUUUAAAUACACCAUGCCGAGUGACGCUAGGUGUCGAUACAUGUGUUUAUUAGGUAAGACGGCCAGUAAUACUAUUGCAACGAGGGACUUGUUAUGGAAGUACGCGGAAGCUAAAUAAUGGCGGCUAGACCAAAACGUGACAGCGUACAGCCACCACAGCCAUCUGAAGAUGCUCCGUCUACCUCCACGAAUCAGACGACAAAUGAGAAUCAGCCGUCUGAAAUAUUCGAACACGUCACAGUCUAUACGAUAUGUUCAGGCUGUGGCAAUGAGUGCAUGACAAAGAUUCAGUACGACAGCGGAAACCUCACCUGGAGUUUGUGCUUCAUUGUGGCCCUGUCAGGAUGGUGUCUCGGAUGCUGCCUGCUGCCAUUUUGCUUUAAAAAAACAAAAGACGUUCUACAUGUUUGUCCAGACUGUCAAUACAUAAUAGCACGUUAUAACAAAAUGUGACAACUUUUGGCCUGUCUCUUCUCCUGUUACCUCUACUCCGUCAGGCUGAAGUAAACUACCCGCCUGUGAUGCUGCCUCAUCAAAAGUGUGUCGAAUGUGUGCCUAAAGUUCGUCAACAUCGAGUUAAAUACAUAACUACUCCCACUAUACUCCAUCCAAAUAGAUUUGAGUACAUAACGACUACUCCGUCCACAUUGAGUUCAGUACAUAACGACUACUCCGUCCACAUUGAGUUCAGUACAUAACGACUACUCCGUCCACAUUGAGUUAAGUACAUAACAACUACUCCGUCCACAUAGAGUUAAGUAAUUAAACAAUCCCUCCACCAUCACUGAUCAAGUGAAUAAGUACAUAACGACUACUCUGACAACAUAGAAUUUAGUACAUAUUUAAACAACUACUUCUUCCACAUUGAGUUAAAUAUAUAAUGAUUCCUUCAUCCACAUUGAGUUAAACAUAACACGAUUCCUUCAUCCACAUUGAGUUAAACAUAACACGAUUCCUUCAUCCACAUUGAGUAACUACAUAACGCCUUCUUCAAGCCAUCUACGUUGAGUUAUGUACAUAAUUUCUUCUCCCUCAACAUUGAAUUAAUACAUAACGACUCUACCAUGUACAUUGAGUUAAGUACAUAACGACUACUUCGUCCACAUUGAGUUAGAUAAUAAACUACUACUCCGUCCACAUUGAGUUAGAUAAUUAACUACUACUCCGUACACAUUGAGUUUAAUACAUUGAGUUAAGUACAUAACGACUACUCCGUCCACAUUGAGUUAAGUACAUAACUUCUACUCCGUCCAGAUAGAGUUAGGUACAUAACGACAACUCCGUCCAGAUAGAGUUAGGUACAUAACUUCUACUCCGUCCAGAUAGAGUUAGGUACAUAACGACAACUCCGUCCAGAUAGAGUUAGGUACAUAACGACUACUCCGUCCACAUUAAGUUAAGUACAGAACGACUACUCCAUACACAUUGAGUUAAGUACAUAACGACUACUCCGUCCAGAUAGAGUUAGGUACAUAACGACUACUCCGUCCAGAUAGAGUUAGGUACAUAACGACUACUUUGUCCACAUUGAGUUAGGUACAUAACGACUACUCCAUACACAUUUAGUUAAGUACGGAACGACUACUCAGUCAGAAAGACGAUUGUUUAUGGUUCAUAAAUAUUUAUGGUGCACAUACACUGCAUUUCUAUUUCCUACCAAACCUGCAAUUGGCCCACUCAAAGAUAUGUUUCCAAAAGAGCUUGCUCACUUAACAGUCAUUUUAUAUCAUUAUAAAUUCCACUAUACCAAAUUAUUUGCAGAUGCAAAUGAUGUUUUAUCUAUAACUUCAAUAUUUUGUUUUUCAAUUUCACAUCGGUCGUAAGUUCUUUUAAAUAAAGUGUUAAUGAAGCUACAAUGUAACACGUCUGAAAAUAAUGGGAUAAAUUAUGUAUUUCUCAAACUGUUAUUUUAUAUCGUACUUAAAUUUCGCUACACGCUGGCAUCAAUUCAUCCCGAUAGCAACAUUAUCGGAGCUCGAGCCAAGCUCGAGUUUAUAGUCUGACAUGCCUAGAUUGAUUAUUAUAUUACCGUUUUAGACUUCAUACUGGCUAUCGGUCUAGCCUUUAUUCACGUUUUACACUAGGUCAGGUUUAAAUUCCCACCUACAAACCCAACUACGUCCAUAUUUAUUUAUAUGGCUUAUGUAGGCAAAUGUCUCCUUAUCCUAAACUAAUUAUUUAUAUUAUAAAAACUGUACUCUUGUCUAGUUUUCUCUUUUGGAGGGUUACUUCCCUUGACACAUGUAAUCAAAAUAUGGACCGUGAAUUGGGAAUUCGUGCCAAAACUCUACCUUAUCGGUCUUAAAGAGUUAGCUGUGUUAAUGUUAAAGUGAUCACAUGGUGUAUUUGUUUUAUAAAUCAUUUGGUAUCUAUCUAGAUAUGUAUUAUACACAAACUGAUUUCACAAUAAAUCAUGAAACAUGUA